RNAcentral lists this ribosomal RNA (253 nucleotides) under uncultured bacterium. RNAcentral describes it as "partial 16S ribosomal RNA". It matches the Rfam family "Bacterial small subunit ribosomal RNA", at positions 524 to 776 of the family's 1533-position model. The record is from RNAcentral.
UACGUAGGUGGCGAGCGUUGUCCGGAUUUAUUGGGCGUAAAGCGCGCGCAGGCGGUGCGGUAAGUCUGUCGUGAAAUCUCCCGGCUCAACUGGGAGGGUGCGGUGGAGACUGCCGGACUGGAGGCACUCAGAGGCCGGUGGAAUUCCCGGUGUAGUGGUGAAAUGCGUAGAGAUCGGGAGGGACACCAGUGGCGAAGGCGGCCGGCUGGGGGUGACCUGACGCUGAGGCGCGAAAGCGUGGGGAGCGAACCGG